UACGUAGGGAGCAAGCGUUGUCCGGAAUUAUUGGGCGUAAAGAGCGUGUAGGCGGCCAGAUAAGUCCGCUGUGAAAUCUCGAGGCUCAACUUCGAGCUGUCGGUGGAAACUAUCUGGCUAGAGUCCGGAAGAGGAGAAUGGAAUUCCUGGUGUAGCGGUGAAAUGCGCAGAUAUCAGGAGGAACACCGAUGGCGAAGGCAGGUCUCUGGGCCACUACUGACGCUGAGAAGCGAAAGCAUGGGGAGCGAACAGG
This 253-nucleotide ribosomal RNA is filed under the name uncultured bacterium. RNAcentral's name for it is "partial 16S ribosomal RNA". It matches the Rfam family "Bacterial small subunit ribosomal RNA", at positions 524 to 776 of the family's 1533-position model. The record is from RNAcentral.